Molecule: ribosomal RNA, 619 nt
Filed under: uncultured bacterium
Lineage: Bacteria
Description: bacterial SSU rRNA
Rfam family: Bacterial small subunit ribosomal RNA
Source: RNAcentral
AUUAGCUGGUUGGUGGGGUAACGGCCUACCAAGGCGACGAUCGAUAGCUGGUCUCAGAGGAUGAUCAGCCAGACUGGGACCGAGACACGGCCCAGACUCCUACGGGAGGCAGCAGUUAGGAAUUUUGGGCAAUGGGCGCAAGCCUGACCCAGCAACGCCGCGUGGGUGACGAAGGCCUUCGGGUUGUAAAGCCCUUUUCUGAGGGAAGAUAGUGACGGUACCUCAGGAAGAAGCACCGGCUAACUACGUGCCAGCAGCCGCGGUAAUACGUAGGGUGCGAGCGUUGCCCGGAUUUAUUGGGCGUAAAGGGCGCGUAGGCGGCUCGGCACGUCCGUUGUGAAAUCGCCCGGCUCAACUGGGCGGGGUCGGCGGAUACGGCCGAGCUGGAGCAAGCUAGGGGGUAAUGGAAUUCCCGGUGUAGUGGUGGAAUGCGUAGAUAUCGGGAGGAACACCUGUGGCGAAGGCGGCUUUCUGGGCCUUACCUGACGCUGAGACGCGAAAGCGUGGGGAGCGAACCGGAUUAGAUACCCGGGUAGUCCACGCCGUAAACUAUGGACACUAGGUGUGGGGGGUAUCGACCCCCUCCGUGCCGAAGCUAACGCAAUAAGUGUCCCGCCUG